Molecule: ribosomal RNA, 498 nt
Filed under: uncultured bacterium
Lineage: Bacteria
Description: partial 16S ribosomal RNA
Rfam family: Bacterial small subunit ribosomal RNA
Source: RNAcentral
AUUGAACGCUGGCGGCAUGCCUUACACAUGCAAGUCGAACGGUAACAGGUCUUCGGAUGCUGACGAGUGGCGAACGGGUGAGUAAUACAUCGGAACGUGCCUAGUAGUGGGGGAUAACUACUCGAAAGAGUGGCUAAUACCGCAUGAGAUCUACGGAUGAAAGCAGGGGAUCGCAAGACCUUGUGCUACUAGAGCGGCCGAUGGCAGAUUAGGUAGUUGGUGGGAUAAAAGCUUACCAAGCCGACGAUCUGUGGCUGGUCUGAGAGGACGAUCAGCCACACUGGGACUGAGACACGGCCCAGACUCCUACGGGAGGCAGCAGUGGGGAAUUUUGGACAAUGGGCGAAAGCCUGAUCCAGCAAUGCCGCGUGCAGGAUGAAGGCCUUCGGGUUGUAAACUGCUUUUGUACGGAACGAAAAGCCCUGGGUUAAUACCCUGGGGUCAUGACGGUACCGUAAGAAUAAGCACCGGCUAACUACGUGCCAGCAGCCGCCGCCG